GACGUUUUACCGGUCCAGGAAUCUGUACGCUUUUUUCAGCAAGAUGAUAGUGAUAUAAUCGUAGCUUUACUUGGUGGCAUUACAGAUUUUAUGCAUUCUGUGAACUCUGACAACUGGAGAAACAUGAUGUGUUGCUUGGCAGAUCAUAUAUUUCAUCUGUACGGAAAAUUUAAAGGCGAAUUAUCUGAGCAUAGGUUUAAUUUUGGUCAGUAAAAUAUUUGCAUCAAACAAAUGUAGCAUGUAGAUAUAUAUAUAUUAUACAUAUAUAUUAU
This 272-nucleotide long non-coding RNA is filed under the name Mytilus galloprovincialis (Mediterranean mussel). The record is from RNAcentral. Lineage: Eukaryota; Metazoa; Mollusca; Bivalvia; Mytilida; Mytilidae.